RNAcentral lists this long non-coding RNA (30493 nucleotides) under Sorghum bicolor (sorghum). RNAcentral's name for it is "long non-coding RNA (SBIC_LNC011529)". The stretch from base 14240 to 14334 matches the Rfam family "Small nucleolar RNA Z247". The record is from RNAcentral. Lineage: Eukaryota; Viridiplantae; Streptophyta; Magnoliopsida; Poales; Poaceae.
AAUGCUAGACUAUAUAGUUAAGAAUAACUUAGGGAAUAUUCUUGUAGUUCGUUCUAAUACCAUGCUAAUGACUUUCUAGAGUAUCUAAUUGAGGUGCUUAUCAUAUUUAUUAUGUGGCUAAGUUAUGAUCAGAUAAAUUAUCCUUGUCACUAUUCAUUAUUUCAUAUAUCCUUUAUGUGACACUUACCCCUGUAUGAAGAGUUAGAUAAAUGUUCUCAAUUAUACAUGCAAUGAUAGAUACUUAAUCUCAUAUUCUAUUCUGUAAUCAAUAUUGAUGAUUGUUAAUCCCUUCCCAGUGGUAAAAAUAUAAAUAACGAUACCUAGAAUACUUCCCGGUUAAAAUGCUACAUCGGUAUUAAUCUGUGCGCUUGCAGAUCUCAUUCAUUAUUUAUUUAGAAGAGCAAUGGCAUAUUUCAAUACCGCGUCUCUCAUGUCAUGCUGGGAUGACAACUUGGCUUAAGUGGUGUGAGAGAUAGGUUUGACAUUUUUGGCACCGUUACUAGAUUUAGAGAACUUAGUCUACUUUUGGUAAUGAUGUUAAGAAUACCCAACAACCAUCUCGGUUAAUCCAUUAACCGAGGUGGAUGACUUAGAGCGCCCACCUCAAUUAACCGACAAAAAAAAAACCCUGAGCCCACUGGCAAGCAUAUUCUCGUGCUCACCGGUGAUCCUAUUCUCAGCCUGCUAGUCAGAUUUGACCCCUCCAUCAUCUGUCAUGCUGCACGCCACCGUCACUAGAUCUGCGUGCGGCUGGCCUCCUCGUCACCAGAUCUGCGUUGGUGGUUGUCGGAUCCGUCAUUCAUGGAGCACCCCGACCCUGAGGAGCUCCACCAUUUUGGUGAACCUAGAUUUGGUGGAUUUGCACUAUUUGGCAACUAUGAAGUUGAAAAUAGUGAAUCUGGAGCUGCUGAAUCCCUACGAGACAAGCCCUAAGUAAAAACUAUGCCACACUUGAAGAGGCAAAAGUUGAAGCCUAUUUUGGAGGCAUCAAGCUAGCAAUGGAAUGGAUAAUAAAACCAACUAUAGUUGAGUUAGAUUGCCAAUGCUUAGUGGAGGCUCUUAAAACAUCUACGGAGGAUAGGUCAAGAUACUCAUAUUGUGAAGGCGAUUAAACAUGCUAGGAGGAUGUGGUUCCAGAUGCACGGUUUAGUAAAAUUGGGAGAGUGCAAUAGAGUAGCUCACGAAUUAGCUCAAUUAGCAAGACACACAAUACAUUGUGUGCUAUCUGGAGAGACAACAUUCCUUUUUGUAUUAGUGAGCGCUUGAAACUGUGAUCAAUGAAUGCACUUUUUCUCUUGUAAAAAGAUAUUAAUGUUCACAAUAUCAAAUAAGUAGUAUUAGAUUACUCAUGCCAUAUAUUUCCAUAGUAAAUUGAUUUAGAGAUAAAAAUGGUGAUGGUGUUGUUUUAUAAAUCUAAUUAAACUCAAAAUUAGUUGACUUUUCAAUUAUUUUAGGACGGAGGAUGGACUUAUAUUUCACAAGUCAAACUAAACGUUAGUUUAUCAGUUAUCUAGACUACGCUAAAAUUUGCGGGAGUAUAAUGUAGAUGAGUUAGAAAUUACAGGGGUAUAUAUAGCUCAUCAUAGCUGAAUCUGAAUUUGAAUCUGAAUACGAGUGGGCUGAAUCUUGCAGUCCACCCACCAAUUUAUAAGUUCUACUCCCUCCGUCAUAUAUAUAUAUAAGGCGUAACCACUUUUUGUUCAUGUCUCAUAAUAUAAGGCGUGCUCUCUCACAAACAUUAAUGUAGUAGUACUAGUGCUGAGAAAGAGAAUUAUGUGUUCUUGGUCUUUGAACCAGAGGUGGUUAUAUUACGUCUUAUAUACUGGGACACAGGGAACAAUUCAUUCAUCACCACGUAUUUUCAUAUGGGACACAGGGAACAAUUCAUUCAUCACCACAUAUUUUCAUAAAUAAAUGUAUGCACAUAUAUUUUUUCAUCACCAAAUAUAAUGUAGUUACCAUGUUAUUAUUAGUACGUACACACAACUUUGUUUUUUAGUUUCCUGGCUCUUCUGUUUUCUCGCUUUUUUUCCCUCCGUGCAUGCAAGUGUGGGAAACGUGGAGAUAAUGGGAAAUUAGUUUCUACAUUUGGAUAGAGACAUGGGACCCUCAAUAGGACAAGGAGAUAACUAAUCCAGUCAUCUUUACGUGUAAAAAAGGAAGUGGGAUAUAUACUGGGAUGCGAGAGAGACAAGGAUGACUCUCACACAUGUAUAAGAGGGAAGAUAAAGAUACAACAUGCAAAAAGUGUGAGGUUUUGGACAUAAAACAAAUAUAUCUUAUGAAAAUAUAUUUUAUGAUAAAUGAUACUAAUUUGGUACUAUAAAUAUUAGUUUUUUAAAAAAAUUUGGUUAAAAUUUUAAAAGUUUAAGUUAAAACAACUUUAAGAAUUAAAACUUUUAAAACAACUUUAAGAACUGAAACUUUUAGGGACAGAGGGUGCGAGGUUUUGAACACAUUUUAGCGUUCAUUUGGCCAUCCAACUUUCCACAACGAUCCACAAGCCACAUAUAUAUACCGUACUUUCCCGAAUAAUGUGUAGCCAAAACGUACAUGUUCUCUAGUUCUAUAUAAAGCAGACAAAGGGCUAGCCACAUCUUUCAUAGCACAGCAGGAAGGCAGAAGCUAGAACACACACACACCCCACACCUGAACCUCGAUCACUUGGGUAGCUAGCAUUAGCAACCAUGAGUCGCCUGGAGGAAGUGGCAUACCAACUCUCUUCACCAUUAGUUCAGGUACAAUGGCUCUUAUUGCUCCUCGUUCCUCUCCUGCUCCGGCUGCACUACUACUACGCCUCCCGUCGACGGUCAAGCCGCCGUCAUGGCAGCAACUGCAGCGACGACAAGCAGCCGCAGCUGCAGCUUCCGCCGUCGCCUCCAGGGCUGCUGCCCAUCAUCGGCCACCUUCACCUCAUCGGCGACCUCCCGCACGUCUCCCUCUGUGACCUCGCCGCCAAGCAUGCCGCCGGCGGCGACGGCCUCAUGCUCCUCCACCUCGGCGCCGUCCCCACUCUCAUCGUGUCAACCCCGCAGGCUGCAAACGCAAUCAUGCGUACGCACGACCAUGUGUUCGCGUCGCGUCCUGCGUCCACGGCCACCGACGACCUCAUGUACGGCUCCACCGACAUCGCCUUCUCCCCCUACGGCGAGCACUGGCGGCAGGCCAGAAAGCUGGUCACCUCGCACCUAUUCACCGUCAAGAAAGUGCAAUCGUACCGCAGCGCCCGCAAAGAAGAGGUGCGCCUGGUGCUGGCCAAGCUACACGAGGCGGCGGCGGCGGCGGGCACGGCCGUGGACAUGAGCACGAUGAUGAACACGUUCGCCAACGACAUCGUGAGCCGCGCCGUGUCGGGCAAGUUCUUCCGAGCAGAAGGCCGGAACAAGCUCUUCCGGGAGCUGGUGGAGGCCAACUCUGCUCUGUUUGGAGGGUUCAACCUAGAAGACUACUUCCCAGGACUGGCGAGGUCGUUAGGUUUCCUUAGCAGAAGGUUUCUGCACAACAGGGCACAGGAGACGCACAAGAGAUGGGACGAGCUGCUUGAAACCAUACUGAGCGACCACGAGAGAAGAAACUCCUCUCUGCAUCGGCAUCGCCAUGAUGACCAUGACGACGGAGAAGGUGACUUCACCGAUGUGUUGCUCUCGGUUCAGAAAGGGUAUGGUAUGACCAGAGACCAUGUUAAGGCCAUCUUGGUGGUGAGUAGUACAGUACAUACCGUACCGUAAUCGAUCCUAUAUAUAUAUAUAUAACUCAUCCGUAUCCCCCCAGGACAUGUUCAGUGCGGGCACAGACACGUCAUCCUUGGUCCUAGAGCUGGCCAUGGCCGAGCUGAUGCGCAAUCCACAGCAGAAGGCCAAGCUACAAGGUGAAGUUCGGAAGCACACACCAGAGGGACAAGAAACGGUGGAGGAAGAGGACAUAGCUAACAUGCCCUACCUGAGAGCCGUCGUGAAGGAGACGCUGAGGCUGCAUCCGCCUGUCCCGCUCCUCCUCCCUCGCCUCUCCAUGGCAGACUGCAUCGUCCAAGGCUACUACGUUCCCUCCGGCACCCGGGUCAUCGUCAACGCGUGGGCUCUUGGCAGAGAUCCAGAGUCAUGGCAGGAGAAGCCAGAGGAGUUCAUGCCGGAGAGGUUCAUGGACGGUGGUAGCGCUGCCGGCGUCGACUUCAAAGGGAACCACUUCCAGUUCCUGCCAUUUGGAGCUGGACGAAGGAUUUGCCCUGGCCUCAACUUUGGGAUGGCUACUGUUGAGAUCAUGUUAGCAAACCUCAUGUACUGCUUUGACUGGCAGCUGCCCAGCGCCAUGGAGGAGAAGGGUGUUGACAUGACAGAAGUGUUUGGACUCACGGUGCAUCCAAAGGAAAAGCUCAUGCUUGUUCCCAAGCUUCCUGGUGCUGCUGCACCUGCAACUAGCUAGUCAUCUACUCCAUGCAAGCUGCUGAGGACACACACACAGUCCUCUGACUGUAUAUGUAUCUGAUGAGUCAUAUUGUAUACUAGAUCGAUCAGGUGGUUUGGAGUAGAAAACUACGUACACACUCUACACACGAUGGUUGGAGUUUCGACUCAAUGUAUAUUGUAUGGUUAUAAAUCGUGUACUAAUAAUAAUUCAAUCUGGAAUUUGAUAAAAAUAAAUAGGAUAAUGGUAUUUGAAGGGAAAUAAAAUCUCUGUUGUGUAUAGAUUUCUCACCUCUGACGUCCUUUCGGCCCAAUAACCUGGGCCGCUUCCUUUGGCAAACAAAAGCAGUUUUCUUUUCUUUUAUUUCUUAGUUUGUAGCUAGCACAUUAAUGCAUGACAUUCUUUUGGAGAAAAUAAUCGCUGCUGAUCCGGAUAGUGAUUGAACUCACAAAAGCAUGUUUGUUUUUCCCAAAUCAUUUUAUCGAUAGUAUGUGCCCCAAAUAUUGCCAUGGCAGAGAAAUUGAACCUCCUGUUGGAGGUUGACCGGUCAAACUACUUUAGAGAGGCCAAACCUUGGUGGACGUCGCUCAAUUAGUUUUCUGUAAAUUCAGUUAGCUAGAAAAUAUCAUUCAGUUAUUAAAAUAUCUCGGAAUCAAGGAUUUUGAUUUUGGCUUUUUCGGUUCAGUUUUAGUUAAGUGUGAAGAACUACGUGAUGUAUAACAAAGAGCAAGCAAAUCUGAACAAAAGUAAGCAAAAAAUAAAACCUGCAGCAAUUUUCCCUACACUACUAGAAUGUCCCUCUUUGCCGACUGCUUGCUUGGCAGUCGGCAAAGGCCCUAAAACAGGUAGCAAAGGCUUUGCCGACUCCUUUCCACGUGGCAGUCGGUAAAGAACACGUUGCAAAGAAUUCGUUGGCAAAGAACCCUUUGCCGCCUGCCAAGUGAAAAGCAGUCGGCAAAGCCUUUGCCACAUGUCAACAUGGCAGUCAGCAAAGGGGACGACAACCACCUUUACCACCAGCUUUUCUUUGCCACCUGCUAGGCAGUCGGCAAAGGACGUCUUUGCCGACUGCUUAGAGUGGCCGACAGCUCAGGACAUUAGGACAGUCGGCAAAGACUCCUUUUGCCGACUGCUCAGUGGGGCGGUUAGCAAAGUGUAUGUUUGCCGACUGCCCGGCCUUUGGCAGGUGGCAAAGGAUACUAGCAGUCGGCAAAGCCGAGUUUUCUUGUAGUGCUAUAUGCAUGCAUGCAACACCAUUCGCAACUAUGCGCCAAAUUCUUUGGAGCUUGGAUGGGCGACGCCUCCAAUGAACGACCACUGCUAGAUCUUCGAGGGUUAACACCGCUAUAGGCCAUUGCAUCUGCUAGAGCUUGGAGGGGUGCCUCGGCUAUGCACUCCCCAUGCAUGGCCACUGCUCGAUGGUGGGGCAAGGGAAGAGAAUAGACACAGGUGGGAAGCAAGGAAGGUAUAUAGAGACACCCUCCGAACCGGGUUGGAUAAGAAGCAGGUUUGCCAAUUAAUUGAUCGAUGGCCUAGCGGAGUCCUUGUUGAAUGUCGAAAUAAAACUCAACUUGGAGAAGUGCAUAUCUAGGGUGCCAUCAAAGAGCUACUUGGAUAUAUUGUUUUCGACGCGGCAUUGAAAGGAAAUCCAAUGGAAGUUGAUCCAAUGGAAAUCCAAUGGAAGCCAAUUUACAUCAUGAAAGUCCCCUAGAAGCUUACAUGAUGCUUAGUGGUUCUAUACCGUUUGAUCUCUAGAAUCAGUGAACGAGGUAUGAUCCUCUAUAAGUAGAUGAGAGGAGGUAGACAUCUUCUAGAACUAGCCGAUCCAAGACCUAGUGUGGCCAUGUUGAUGGAGGGGAGGGGUGGAGGGCAAAGGGCACAUGAUCAAUCAUGAUGGGAUGGGGAGCAAAGGCGGAGGAGUGGGGUGGAGAGGAGGGCAGUGAUAGAAAUGGGGUGGAGGUAUGGAGCAAAGGUGUGUGUGUGGUGGUUCUUAGAGAGAUGUGUGGUUGAUCGAAGGAGAGAGAAAACUUAGCUAUGUUUUAUAAAUGUACAUAUUUUCACUCUUGGUUUGUGGUUGGAGCCCGUGAUGAAAACCUUCAUGUUUUUCACCCCGGAUGGUUCCACUAUGAACUGGAGGUGAAAAUAUCAUUGGCAAAAAUCAUUUUUGUAGUGUACUGACCCUAAGUCAAAUUAUCUUAAGUUUGACCAACUUAAGAAACGAUAACAUCUGCGACACCAAAUAUAUAAGUACAUUAUCAAAAUAUAUUUCAUGACACAUUUAAUGAUACUAAUUUGGUAUCAUAAAUGUCGUUUUUCUUUUCUAUAAAUUUGGUCAAACUUAAAAUAGUUUGACUUAGUACAACUCUUGAAAUUAAUUUAAUUUGGGACCAACGGAAUACCUAGUUAGGAUCAUAGGCAAGUCAAUCAGAUAAACCUAUAUUAUUAUUGGAAAAAGUCUAAAUUAAUCCCCCAAGUUUGGUAUAUAUCUGGAUAACCAUCUAAACUAAUGUUUGGUUUGAUUUAUUUCCUCCAACACUUACCCAUUAACAAGUUUUUUUUCUUGUUACAAAUAAUGUUUUCAAAAUUUGUGAGGUGACAGUGGACAUCAUAUUUUACGAUAAACAUUUUUCAUUAUGUAUUUUUCAUCAUCGUGCUUCAUACAGUUCCAUAUAUCUAGUUUUAUUUUAUUAUUAGAUGUAUCAUAAACUAUCAAAAAAUAGUGGUGUAAAAUUUACGGUAUAUAUAUUUUUAUAAAUGAAUUAUGAUAGUUAUAAAAUUUUAGUUAAAACUCAACUGCUUAUAGAUGGGAAACAAAAGUAAUAAAUCUUAGUAAGGGGUAAAUUGGACCAAAUUAAAUAGUUGAAAUGAGAAACUAGUACCAAACACUAGCUUAGCAGGUUAUCUGUACAUAGAUUAAUUUAAUUAUUCUUUUCUUAUUAUUAUUUAUCUCGUUGUUACGUUCACUCCUCUUCUUAUUUACCAACACACGUGUAUAAUGUAGACAAUGAGUUAGGAAUUACACCUGCGCCACGGGCAGGGGCAGCUCAUGCUGAUUUCUGGGUACAUUGAAUCUCGCAGUGGACCCACUAAUCUUUAACUUAUCUAGUAGUACAAAUCCAACAAAUCAACAACCCAUUCUUCACCAUACCCAGUGUGUCAUUAAUUGUUGUACACACAAAUUUUGUUUUCUCCUGCUGGCUCUCUAAUUUCCUCACAAUUUUGUCUCUGUCCGUGCACUGCAUGCAAUGACACGACGGCAACGUACUAUAUAUGGAGGGAAAAUGUGGUGAACGUGAAACUAAGCCAGUUAUCGUUACGUUUAUAAAUUUGUUUGUACGGUUGGAUGAGAAGUAAGUCAGUCAUCAUAUAUAUCUUGAAUUUACGUGUAAAAAAUGAAGAGAGAGAGAGAGAGAGAGAGAGAGAGAGAGAGAGAGAGAGAGAGAGAGAGAGAUAAGGAUGGAUGACUCAGAGAAAAUCCAAAAGAGUCCAUAUGAGCUAUAGUAGCUAGCUAGCAAGAAUCAAUCCAUGCUAUGUUUCCAAAUACCAACGCAAAUAUAUAGCUGUGAGGUUUCGGACAUUGUUUGUAGUAUCUAUUUUGCCAUCCAACUUUCCACGAUCCACAAAACCACAAACUCUUUAUUAUAUAUAGAAGCCAAAGGUUUGCCAACUUUCCAAACACGAAGGCAGCAGAAACACACCAUUGCAAGCAACCCUGGCUAGUAUAGCAACCAUGUGUCACCUGCUGGAUUUGGCACACCAACUCUCGCACCCGACCUCCUCUUCUCCCUUAGUCGUCGUUCUAGCAAAAUGGCUACUAUUGCUCGUCGUUCCUCUCCUGCUCCUGCUGCACUACUACACCUCCCGGCGGUCAAGCCGCCGUCAUGGCAGCGAUGACGACAAGCAGCUGCUUCCGCCGUCGCCUCCCGGGCUGCCAAUCAUCGGCCACCUUCACCUCGUCGGAGAACUCCCUCACGUCUCCCUCCGCGACCUCGCCACAAAGCAUGCCGGCGGCGGCCUGAUGCUCCUCCGCCUUGGCUCUGUCCCCACCCUCGUCGUGACAUCUCCGCCGGCUGCGGAGGCGAUCAUGCGCACGCACGACCACGUGUUUGCGUCGCGGCCCACGUCCACUGUCAGCGACGACCUCCUGUACGGGUCCUCUGACAUCGCCUUCUCCCCCUACGGCGAGCACUGGCGGCAGGCCAGAAAGCUUGUCACCACGCACCUCUUGACCGUCAAGAAGGUGAACUCAUAUUGCCGUUCCCGCAAAGAAGAGGUCAGUGACUACUAGCUAUAUGUGUAUAUAUAUAUAUGCAACACAUACAUAAGCAAAUUAAAUCGAUCGUCCAUGCAACAAAUACUAUUUGUAUAUAUAUGCAUAUAUAGGUGAGCUUGGUGAUGGACAAGAUAAGAGAGGCAGCGACCGCGGGCACGGCCGUGGACAUGAGCACGAUGAUGAACACGUUCGCCAACGACAUCGUGAGCCGCGCCGUGUCGGGCAAGUUCUUCCGAGCAGAAGGCCGGAACAAGCUCUUCCGAGAGCUGGUGGAGGCCAACACUUCUUUGUUUGGAGGGUUCAACCUAGAAGACUACUUCCCAGUGCUGGCGAGGUCGUUAGGUUUCCUUAGCAGAAGGUUUCUGCUCAACAGGGCACAGGAGACGCACAAGAGAUGGGACGAGCUGCUUGAAACCAUACUGAGCGACCACGAGAGAAGAAACUCCUCUCUGCGUCGCCAUGACGGAGGUGACUUCACUGAUCUGUUGCUCUCGGUCCAGAAAGAGUAUGGUAUGACUAGAAAUCAUGUCAAAGCCAUCCUGAUGGUGAGUGACUAACCCAGCUCUCCACCCAUAUAUAUAUAUAUAUAUAUAUAUAUAUAUAUAUAUAUAUAUAUAUAUAUAUAUAUAUAUAUAUAUGCCCAAUCUAUGUACAUUUGUUUCCUUUGAUUUAUACAUCUUGAUGAUAUAUACGAUGACUAACAAAUAUACAUACAUAUACAGGACAUGUUUGCUGCAGGCACAGACACGUCAUCCUUGGUCCUGGAGUUCGCCAUGGCUGAGCUGAUGCGCAACCCACAGCAGAUGGCCAAGCUACAAGGAGAAGUCCGGAAGCACACACCAGAGGGGCAGAAAAUGGUGGAGGAAGAGGACCUAGCCAGCAUGCCCUACCUGAGAGCUGUCGUGAAGGAGACGCUGAGGUUGCGCGCUCCUGUCCCGCUGCUCGUCCCUCACCUCUCCAUGGCGGACUGCAUCGUCAAUGGCUACCAUGUCCCCUCUGGCACUCGGGUCAUUGUCAACGCAUGGGCGCUUGGCAGAGACCCAGAGUCAUGGGAGAAGCCGGAGGAGUUCAUGCCGGAGAGGUUCGUCGACGGUGGCAGCGCUGCUGCCGGCGUCGACUUCAAAGGGAACCACUUCCAGUUCCUGCCGUUUGGAGCUGGACGAAGGAUCUGCCCUGGCCUCAACUUUGGGAUUGCUACUGUUGAGAUCAUGCUGGCAAACCUCAUGUACUGCUUUGACUGGCAGCUCCCCAUGGGCAUGGAGGAGAAGGAUGUUGACAUGACAGAGGUGUUUGGAAUCACGGUGCAUCUUAAGGAGAGGCUCAUGCUUGUUCCCAGCCUUCCUUGUGCUGAUGCACCUGGAACUGGUCGUCAGUCGUCACUGCUCCAUGCAAGCUCGUCGCGCACAAAUGAUUUGGAGUAAAGAUCGAACUGCAGACGUUGUAGUGCACGAGCACAAUGCACACAGAUGAAGUGAACUAGCUAGCUAGCUAGAAUCUAUAUAUGGAUGGUUUGGUGCUUGGACUCAAUGUAUAUUGUAUAUGGUAAUAGUAGUGUAAUGGUAACUCUAUCUGGAAUCUGAUAAAAAUAAGUACACUGGUAUUUUGAAGGGAAAAAAAAUCUCUUUGUUGUAGAGAUUUCAUCUAAUGUUUUUGUGGAGCUGCCGGCAAGAGCUUUCCGGAGCAUUGUUCAUUGAUAAAGAAGAAGGUUACAACAAUAUUUUUUUUCGAAAGAUAAGGUUACAACAAUAUUACAACACCACAAAUCCACACAACGACAACAACCUGAACCCAUCUCUUGGUGAUGCUCUUAUACACAUAAAUUUGUUUUUUUCUUGGUCUCUAUUUCCUCACCUUUUUUUCUCUUCGUGCACUACAAUGACACGAUGGCAACUAUAUAUAUGGAGGGAAAACGUGGUCGUAUUUGUGUUUAUAAUUUUGUUUCUUCGGUUGGAUAGAGACAUGAGACGAGACCCCAUGGGUAAGGAGAGAAAUAGGUCAGUCAUCGUAUCUUUAGGUGUGAGAGAGAGAGAGAAGACAUGUAUCCAUCGGGGUGCUUGUCGCUUUUGGCCAACCUUACUAAUGCAUAGCGAUCAUACAAUGUUGUAUCGUCCAUCGGGUGUUUCAGUGAUUGUGUGUAACACCCUAAAUUUUGUUCUUUUGGAAAUAGAGUUAAAAUAAUUUAAUUUUUACAUUUUUAGUGCUCAUGAAACAUAGGAAAAUAAUAAUUUUUAUUUAAUUAAAAAUUUAUCAUAGGAUUAGAAAUAUGGUUGUGCAUUCAUGCUGGAAAUUCAUAUUUAUUGUGAUGAGUAAUUUGACCAAAGUUCAAAAUUGUUUCAAACUGAUUUGAAAAGGGUUUGGAAAUAACAGAAAAAAAAGAAAGGAGGAAGCCACUCCCUGGAAACCAGGCCGCAGCCCAGCGCCCCUCUUUCCCCCGGCCCAUUUCCUUCCCCUCUCGGCCCAGCCCUGUUUCUCCCCUUGGCCCAGCACGGCUCUUCCCCUCUCCCCUUGUUUCGGCCCAGCGUGCGGCCUAGGAGCAGGCAGCAGGCGCGCCUCCCUUCCUUGCUCCCUCUUUGGCUGACACCAUGGCCCCACCUGUCAGCAAUAUCCUCAUCUCCUACCUGGCGUCGGGGGCGAGCAGGACUCUGCUCCUGCUCCGACCCAAAACACCGAGAUCCGCUUCAAAUCUUUCGCGGAUUUUGGUUCUAUAAAAGGGAUCGGGAAUCGCACCGCCUUCCUUUCCUCCCUGUUUGCAUGGACGCGAGCUCCAUCCUGCCCUAUCCUAACUUGCAAGCGCCGCCGCCAUCCUGCAGUUUGACACCAAGCGCGGAUCAACGUUUCCUCCACGGUUGUGCCUCCGUAAGCUUGAUGCCGGGCCGCGUACCGAACUUGCGAAGUCGCCCACACUCCUCUUUCUAUUUUUCGUGCUCUACGUACCCGGCUAACCUUCGCCGAACUGCGCAGGAGGCCCGCCGUCCGCCAUCCGCGUGGUUCACCCGACCCCGAGCUCUCUCUGCCGCAAGGAAACCCCUGGGUGAGUUCCCCUAGCUCUCCUCUUGCUCCCUGUGCAAUUAGUUCUUCAAAACGUGCCCUAAAUCGCCGUAUCGGUGAACUCCGGCGAGGAGCAAGGCCCUCCGGCCAUGGCGCCGCCGCCCGGGCACUGUUCCGGCCGGCAGCAGCCAUCUCCUCUCUCCCUUGAUCGAUUUUGCACCGUCCAGAUCGAGAUCAAGGGUCCACAAUAGAAGAUACCCCUUCGGGGUAAAAUUUUCUAAAGAGACCCUGCCUUUUUCUGUAUUAGAACCCGCGCUCCAUAACGUGUUUUAGAAAAUACGCAAUCUGACUUUGAAAGCGUAAUCCACCUCGGGUUGAUUCAAAGUACGUUUUCAAUAAUUACAAGUUUGCCACUGAAACUGUUUUGGCCAUAAAAUAUUCAUUUAAAUUCCGUUUUGACCCAUUCAAAUUGCGUUGGAUUCGUAAUAAUGAGCUCUACAUGUUAGUAAACUUAAUUCACCAGUUUGAAACUUUGUAAUUUUGUGGCUUUAAUUAAUUAAUUAAUUACUUUUCUAUAUAAAAUCUUAGAAAAUUCAUAACUUCUCCGUUUCAACUCCGAUUUUCGUGAUCUUUACGUCUAUGAAAUCGUAGCGAUGCGUAGAAUCAUUUUAUAAACUUUUCAUAGUAUUUUCAUAUGAUUGGUGUACUGUUCUAAUUGUAGCCUUGUUUGCUUCGUGUAUGUUUGUUGUCGUAUGUUUGUGAUCGAUGAUCGGAAUUAGUCGUUGAGCAAUUCGUGGUGAUCAAGAGUGCUUCAGUGAUCAAGAUCAGAGCCUUGGACAACUAGCAAUAUCGGCAAGAGCUAUUGGAUCGAGGCAAGUAUAGCAUUUGGAUUUUAUUUCUGUGACCAUGAUCUUGUGACUAGAUUAAUGUUAAGUAAUAAAUGACAAAAAUGACUUUUAGCCACUUGAUGAUUUAUCUGUAAGUGAUAACCGGGACAACAGUGCAACCAUGAGGGCUAUAAUGGCUCUGGCUUUAGUUAAGUAUGAGUAACUUUUCUAGCUCGUUAGCGGUUACCUGUUGUGGCGCAAUUGGGGAAUAGCAGACCGUGGAUUCCUGCGGGUGAAUCACAUGGACUGACUAAUGAAACCAAGCGGCCCUAACUUGUUAGACGAACCUUUGAAAGACUUCAUAGUCAUCCCUGCCGACCUCCCUAGGAAGGGGGUUAAGAGAUUAGCUACCUCGGGCGAAAGGGUAAAUCAUGACUCAUGGGUAAAGAUGUGCAACCUCUGCAGAGGGUUAAAAACUAGUAUACUAGCCGAACUCACGGUCAGGAGCGGCCUUGGGGAUUCUUGCUACGACGAUGAUGAUUCUUGUGUGUUAGAUAUGCUCAUUAUUUAUUAUUUAAUGCUCUACAUUAUUUAUGUCACAUUGAUCAUGAGAUUGUGGGAGCUAUACAAUCUAGUUGCUAUAUAUACUUGUGGAGUUCGACAUGGACUCACUCUUGCUAUUUACCCCACCCUCCAGGAGAAGUUUAGGCUUGUGAUCAACCAGUCAGUUGGAUCCUGUAGAGUGAAGUUAAUACCCGAAGUUGGAGUUAUUUAUCCGCUGUUGCUAUCAAAGGUUGUCUCUUUUAUACUAAGUACGUUAUAUAUAUUUUUGCAUUGUCUUUUGAUAUUACCCCUUAUUUGUAGCUAUAUGUGAGAUUUGGUUUCUAAAACUCACAUAUGGUGCAUAUCUGGUUUUGUCCUUAAAAUUGGGUAUUACAUUGUGAGAGCUUUAGGAAAUCAUGGGGCAACAAGAAAAAUAUCAAGAUGCAGAUAUUUUUUCGAAAGAUCUCAAUGUUAGAUGAUGUAUUAGUUAUCAACGUAUCUGGUACAUGAAUGUACCUAGACGUGUAUUGUACACCAUGCCGUGUAUAGAGUACAUCUCAUCUAGAGUUUGUUGUAACAACCUUACUCUGUAUGUGCGCCAAGCUGGGGGCUCUUCCCUGCCAUAUAUAACAGGCAGUCGAGUACCCCUGAAGAGGUAUCUCGUUCCCAUCGAUUUUACAUGGUAUCUAGAGCCUCUUUCGUCAGGGAACUCAAGUAUGCCGCUCCCAUCAUCCUCCGCGGUGCCCGCUGCUACCUUUCUCGACCUGGGUUCAUCCCAGUGACCAAGAAACUCACCCGCAACAACUUCUAGUCAUGGAAGUCUCAAGUCAUCUCGGCAAUCAAGGGCACCUAGGCUGCGAAGUUCAUCCAGCCGAGGGCAAAACCCCCACUAGAGUUUCUGGCACCCAAGACUAAAGACGACAAGGAGCCACCGGUGUCAAAUCCUAAAUAUGACAUGGCCAAAGAUCAACAGGUUCUGAGCUACCUGCUGACCUCGCUCUCCAAAGAGAUCCUCAGCCAGGUCUCCACACAUGAAACAGCAUCGGCGGUCUGGACCACCAUAGAAGGCAUGUUCGCGUCCCAAUCAAGGGUGCGCAUCAUCGCCACAAGAAUGGCGUUGGCGACUGCCUCCAAGGGAUCUACCUCUAUCAGCGAGUACAUCGUGAAGAUGAAGGGUUUGGCUGACGACAUGGCAUCGCCAGGCAAAAAGAUUGAAGACGAGGAGCUGGUCUCCUACAUACUGACCGGAUUGGAUCUGGAUUAUGAUCCAGUGGUCCUCGGCGGUGGUGGCACGCGUCGAGCCCAUCUCCGUCUCCAAGCUAUUCACUCAGCUCAUCAGUCACGAACAAUAUAAAGGAGAAAUUUUUUGGAACUAAACAAGGCCUUGGUGGCCUGACAAACUUGUUGAACAGUUGUGUCCUUAUUUUUUACAAAGGAGAAGAGCUCUGGUAGCUUGUACUAAAAGAGAGACCAUUUCAAUUAUCAAGCCAGAAAAAAUAUGAGGACCCAUUUCCCAACAGUGGCCAUGGCCAUACCUUUAAAAGUAGGCAGGAGUUUCUCAACAUCACGCCACCAAAAAGAGCCUUUUCUAGUUAUCAUAGAAGGUUUUCCAUUUCCAUAAAGGUAUGUCCUCUGCUGGUAGGGCGAGCACCCCAAAGUAAAGCCUCUGAUUUAUAGGCCGUCAGAGGCGCUAUUUAGCGUCGUGCGGUCCUUUCUAAUGUGACUCCUAGAGUACUCACAAUACAGACUCUAUAAUAGAGUCUAAAGUUAUUUAUUACCUUGAACAAUAUUGACUUAGAGUCUAAAUGAGACUUAGAGUCUUAUUUUUUCAACAUAUUUCUUCAAUAAAUAUGCUGUCACAUCAGCAAAAUACUAUAAAUAAUAUGUAAUUAAUUGUCUUGGACUCUGUGAUAGAGUUUUGCAUUAUGAGUGUCUUUAUUUCUCUAUGGCUUAACAGCAGCAUGCGGUAAGAAGAAACAGUAAACUAUUAAGGCCAGUCUCAGUGGAGAGUUUCAUGGCGUUGUUUCCAAGACUGCCAUGUCAUAUGAAAUAAAAUGAAACUUGAAUGAAACACCCACUCUCAAUGGAGAGUUUCAUUUCAUAGUUUCAUAACCAUUUAAUUGCAAGUCUCAUAGAGAGUUGGUAAUCGUGCCAAGAGAGUUUCAUCUAGAUGAAACUCAUUUCUUCUCUCUCUUCUUAAAUACACUGUCAUGUCAUCAAAACAGCCUAUGUGGCAACCUAUUUAAUGCAAAUGAAACUCCCAUUGACACUAGCCUAACUAUUGAUUCAUAUCAGACGGCAUCACAUCUGUAAUUCCUUCUCCGUUUUCCGUGUGUUUUGUUACAGAACUCUAUGAAGUGCUCAGCUCUAAAAGACCCAUAGUACUGAGCCUCAACUAGUUAGGUUCCUUUUAGUGGAACUUAUCUACUUAGGUUUCAGUUCUUCACUAAACAUAGGUGUUUAUGGUUGGCGAUAUGACUUUAUAUCUCUUGACUCUCGGGAUGUACUAACACUUUACUUUGAAGAUCUUUGGUAGUUGUGGGCGUACGGGAAAGGGUAUAGAGAUGAGUGCGUACAACCGUACAUAUUUAUGCAUAUAUGUCUAUUAGAAAUUUAGAAUUCAGAGAAAAGACCACAGUUCUUCGCAAACAUGCAUAUGUGUGAUGAGUGACUCAGUAAACUAAGGCCGUCAUGAGUUAUGUUUGUUUGUGCUAAAUAUAUUCAUUAUUAAGCCUCUCAAUUUGAUUUCAUCAGAGUUUCAUGGACAGUAAAUAUGUUGAUCGAUAUGACACCAUAUUAAUGAAGAGAGAGAUAAUAAGAUUUUAAUUGGAGCGGAGAGAGUUUCGUGGGAUGAAAUCCUUCUACACUGUUUUCAAAAUAGGAUGAGUUGGAAACUAGGACAUGAAACCCUCCAUUGAGACUGGUCUUAGUGGUCACUGCAGUGGUGAACAAGACCCUAAUAUACAAACAAACAGGGAUUGAAAAGCACUAGCAGUAGAAACAAAUCUUCACACUAAUGGUUAAGUGAGAACCGCAUGUAGAAAUAUAUUGUUACAGACGGUUUACUAAGACAACCGCCAUUAUAAAAUAGAUUUCCACAGACAAUUCUCUUAGCCAACCGCCAGUGGAAAUAUUUUUAUAGAAAAUGCGAAAUCCGCAUGUAAAAAUCUAUUUUUACAGACGGUUUGUUAAGACAACUGCCAUUAGAAAAUAGAUUUCCAUAGACAAUUCUCUUAGCCAACAGCCAGUGAAAAUAUUUUUCUAGAAAAUACGAAAUCAGCUUUUAAAAAUAGAAAAAAACAUUUUAAUCCGAGGAAAGACCCAUUGGCUAGUCGCAAGUCACGCAAUUUUUUGCAUAAAACCAUGCAAUACGCGGCCGAUGGGAUUUGAAUUUGAGACCUUGCCCUCACCUAUAGCCUUCUCUACCACUACACCCAUCACUUAGUUGCUAUAUUAGAGUUUAGCUCCCAAAUAUUAUCCUAAAUCGAGCAUAUACAUUGAUUAUUUAAGGUCCUAAACGGAUUCAAAUGGAAAAGUUGUCAACUACAAAAUUUGAUAACUUUUCAAGGUCUACAACUUCUAUAUUUGUAGUUUCUCCAUCCAAGGUCAUUUAUAAAAUUUGAAUUUCAAAAUUGAGAAAUUCAAACAAAGUUUUGGAUGACAAAAUGAUCUCAAAUGAAAAAAUUAUGAACUACAAAGUUUCAUAACUUUUCGAGAUCUACAACUUUUAUUUUGGCAGUUUUUCCAAACGAGAUCAUUUGAAAAGCUUAAAAAAUUCAAUUUUCUACAGGUGGUUUUCUUAAAAAACGCCCAAAGAUAUUAUUUGAUAUGAUACAAUCUCAUACUCCAAGCUGGUUCUAUUAUAGAUACCUCUUGAACAAAGGAGAGUGAAUAUUGGCUAUGAUGGAGCAAUGACCAGUUUCAAAUCACGGCAUAACUCUUCAGAAAAGUAGCUAUGAAUGCAUACAUCUUUUUAGAAAAUGAAUGCAUACAACUUUUUAGGAUGGCUCAAUGCUACUUUUUUGCCAGCCGUUGGAGAAGAUGAGAAAUUGAGGAGGAGGCCCGAUGGCGAUUGUCAUGCUCGUGAGGUCAUCCGCAGCGAGAUGAUGUAUAAAAAUAAUAAAAAAGUAGCAUUGUAACACUCAAAAACUUGUUCAUUUUAAAAUAGGUGAAAAAUGGUUUAAUUUUGAAUUUUGUGCUCAUGAAAAUAUAAAAAAAAUAAUAUUUUUCGUCAAUUAAAAUUAAUCAUAGGGUGUAGCAAUAUUUUUGUGCACUCAUGCUUAUGCAUUUUUAGUUAUUUUUCUGAGUGGUUUUAUUAAAAUUCAAACAUAAUUCAAAAUGAUUUUUAAAACGGUUUUGAAAAUGGCUUUGGAAUAAAGGAAAUAGAAAAUAAAAAGACAAAACCCCUCCUCUCCCUCUUCCUUGCCUGAUGGCCCAAAUCCCCUCAUCCCCUCUCCGGCCCAAGCCAGCGCACGCGGCCCACUCCCCUCCCCGCAGCCCAGGCCAAACGGCCCAGACGCGCGCGCUUUCCUCUCUCUCUUUUCUUUUGGUUGACAACCGGGCCCCGUCCCUCCUCUCUCGCUGACGCUAGGGACCCACCGUGCAGCGCUCUCUUCUUCCUCUCGCCGUAAACGCGUAGGACACUACCGGGGGCAAAUCAAUUCCGUUUCCUUCGGGAUUUGCUUGCCAAAUCAGUUCACCAGCACCCUAUAUAACUUCGCAAUCUUCCUCGCGCCUCUCUUUUUCUUAGACACACGCCUGGGAAGCCCUAGCUCUCGACUUGGAUCUCACCAGAUAACCAAGCUCGCCGCCGCCGUGGCUCUUGCAAGUCGCGGGUGUUCGGCCAAAAUUGAGUUGUUGACGAGCUUCGUUUUGAGGUUGCGAACCUCCCUGCACUCCCCAUCCCCUUUUUAUUCCUCUCUGUGAUGUUCUAAUGCUCACCGAAUCAUGCAGAGACACCUCGAUCCGCUAUCCCUCGUGGCCGGUCCGCUACGAGCUCCCUCUGCGCGUAAUAAGCCCCCAGGUGAGUUCGUCUCGUUUCCCUCUUGCUCCCGGUGUUCUUCCCUUCGAAAACCGAGCUCCCUAUGCUAUUUUCCCUACCUCCGGCAAGCUUCGAGCCCCUCCGGCCAUGGAGCCGCCGUGCCGGGAACAAUGUUCCGGCCGGGGUAUCCUUUUUUACCCUCUCAGAUCUAAUCUGCGCCAUCUGUUUCGCGAUCAACGGCCGAGAUCUCAACAUACCCCUUCGCCUCGCACAUUUGCUAAAGAGACCCCGAAAAACUUUAGAUUAGAACCCGCCGUCCCUUGGCGUAUUAUCUGGUUUACGCUUUUCAAUUCGGAAAACGUAUUCUUCUCGGCUUAAAAGAAAAUACGCUUUCUAGUAUUUACUGGUUUUCUUUUGGCCAUAAAAUAUUCAUUUUAAUUCCGUUUUGACCCAUUCAAAUUGCGUUGGAUUCGUAGUAAUGAGCUCUACGUGUUAGAAAAACUAUAUACUCAGUUUGAAACUUUUAUUUUCGUGACCCUCAUUAAUUAAUUAUUUCUCUAUAUAAAAUCCUAGAAAAUUCAUAUCUUCUCCGUUUUAGCUUCGAUUUUCGUGAUCUUUUCGUCUGUGAGAUCGUAGCGAUGCGUAGAAUCAUUUUUAUAAACUUUUCUCACUGUUUUUAUAUGAUUGGUGUAUUGUUCUAAUUAUAGCUUUGUUUGCUUCGUGUAUGCUUUCUCCGAUUGUUUGUGUGAUCGAUGAUCGAGUUUAGACGGAGAGCAGUUUCGGUGAUCAAGAUCAAAGUUUUGGCAACAAGUGAGACCAGCAGGACCAAAAGGAUAAGCAAGAGCAUUUGGAUCAAGGCAAGUAUAGCAUUUGGAUUUUAAUUCUGUGACCAUGAUCCUGUGACUAGAUUAAUGUUAAGUAAUAAAUAAUAAAAAUGACUUUUAGCCACUUGAUGAUUUAUCUGUAAGUGAUAACCGGGACAACAGUGCAACCAUGAGGGCUAUAAUGGCUCUGGCUUUAGCUCAGUAUGAAGACCUUUUCUAGCUUGUUAGAGGUUACCCGAAAGGGCGGAGGAGCUGAACCGUUUUGCGUAUAGUGCGAGCCCCUGUCCUUAUGUGUAUAGGCUGCGCGUCAUUGUGCCAUUUAGAAGGGGGUAUCUAUAUCUACGGGCAAAGGAAACCUUGCGGCCCUAACAUGGUAGACGAACUUUUGAAAGGCUUCAUAGUGAUCCCUGCCGACCUUCCUUGGAAGUGGGUCAAGAAGCUGAUCACCUCGGGCGAAAGGGUAAAUCAUGACUCAUGGGUAAAGAUGUGCAACCUCUGCAGAGUGUUAAAAACUGGUAUACUAACCGUGCUCACGGUCAAGAGCGGCCUUGGGAAUUCUUGCAUUGACGAUGAUGAUUCUUGUGUGUUAUAUAUUUUCAUUAUUUAUUAUUUAAUGCUCUACAUUAUUUAUGUCAUAUUGAUCAUGAUAUUGUGGGAGCUAUACAAUCUAGUUGCUAUACUUGUUGAGUUCGACAUGGACUCACUCUUGCUAUUUCCCCCACACUUCAGGAGAUGUUUUAGGCUUGUGAUCAACCAGUCAGUUGGAUCCUGUAGAGAGAAGUUAAUACCCGAAGUUCGGAGCUGUCUAUCCAUUGUUUGCUAUCAAAGGUUAUAUCUUUUAUAUUAAGUAUGUUAUAUAUUUAUGCAUUGUCUUUUGAUAUUACCCUUUAUUUGUAGCUAUAUGUGAGAUUUGACUUCUAAAACUCACAUAUGGUGCGUAUCUGAUUUUAUCCUUAAAAUCGGGUAUUACAAGCACUCUCAUUGGCUAUCGAGGAGAGAGAUCAAAUAGCUAGCGACUCAUAAAUAGCUAAUCUAGCACGAUUUUCUAGAAAUAACUCUCUCACAAUACUCUCCACAAUAGCUAGUGUCUUCUUAAUAGCUAGUGACUUCCUAAGCUAGCUAUUUGCAAAUUGUUAUUAAGAGCCAAUAACAUUUUUCUUAAAAUCAAAUAGCUAGCAAUUGAAUACCAUUGCGGCAUCCCUCUCAAAGAACCUGUAAAGGCGGCAGCUUGAUAGCAGUAGGUGUAGUAAGUAGGAAGCACCAUCGCAACAACAACAGCAGGGGAACGAUCGACCAGGUGAGGCACUCCAAACUGCGGACGAUCGAGUUGUAUAUUUUGGGAAUAUUGGAGAGGAAUUGGAAGGACAUUAAUGCCAUUAAAAUGACAACUUCUAAUGCGUAAUCGCCAAGGUGGUUGCGCGUUCAGAGCUGGAUGCUGCAUGCAGCCAUUUCCAUUUCCUUGGGUGCAGAGGCGUGUGAAGGAAGACAGAUGGGGGACAAUGAAUGUGGCUAGGAAACUAAUCGAUGUGACUUGGGUCUUGUUUAGUUCCGAAAAGUGAAAAGUUUUCGGUACUGUACCAUUUCGUUUGUUUGUGACAAAUAUUAUCCUAUCAUAGACUAACUAGGAUCAAAAGAUUCGUCUCGUGAUUUACAGCUAAACUGUGUAAUUAGUUUUUGUUUUCGUUUAUAUUUAAUGUUUCAUGCAUGUGCCAUAAGAUUUGAUGUGACGGGAAAUCUUGAAAACUUUUCGGUUUUCAGAGUGAACUAAACAAGGCCUUGCUCAACAUUUACAAAAAGUCUAUACCGACAUAGCACGGUAUUUAUGAAGAGAGAGAUUAUAAAAGUUUUAUAGAAGUAGAAAAAGUUUCAUAUAAUAAUAAAAUUCUUCUAUACUAUUUUUAUAAAUAUAUAUGACCGUUGAAUUAAAAACUAGGACACACUAUCGGAGAGCCGGCCUUUGCCAUGUGUCCGUCUGUUUGCUGUUAGCAACACACGACAAAGACCGGGUUUGUCGUGUGCUCAGUCCACACACACAGUAAACGCCAAUCACAGUAUACCUGGAUUUUGUCGUGCGUUGCACACAGCAAACACCAGACACAUGGCCGUCAGAUUCAGUAUAUAUAUAUAUACUGAAUCUUUUUUACACGUACGAGUAAUUACACGCAUGCAAAGACACUCACGGGAAACGUCGGGGAAGGAAACGGAACGAAAACGUGGAGGGUGGGGUGCGGCGCGUUUGCUGUACACUAACGGGUUCAGAUCGAUAGCAUCUCAAUGGCCUGUUACGGGUGUGUUAUGUACGUGUAUUUUUUUAAGAGUACAUACGAUGGAUAAUGAUUAUUAAUCAUGGGAGGUGCACCUGGCCGUAUAUAUUUAUUAACGGAGGACAUUAGGGAUGCGGCCCGUUAGUGGAGAGAACAGGUUUGGAUACAAAAUCGGUUAAGUACUGCUACUCUGUUCGCUAAUUUCAAUGCCGUUUGAAUGUUACCAUACACGUCCAUGUUUUGUGGUGUGAGUUUGUUAGCAUAUUUCAAAUAAAAGUGGGUAUUAAAUUCUGUAUAAACUUAUAUGCUUGUGUGAUUAAAGUAUGGAUGCAUACUUUAAUAAAAAAAUGAAUAUAUAUUUGUAUACUUGUACUUGGGAGUAUAUCCUAUACUCAAGGAGUAUAUCUAUAUACUCAAGGAGUAAUUUAGUGUUUAUUAUAUCCGUAUACUUAUACUUGGGAGUAUGUCCAUAUACUCAGAGAUUAUUUUGUGUGAUUAAAGUAUGGAUGCAUACUUUAAUAAAAAAUGAAUAUAUAUUUGUAUACUUGUACUUGGGAGUAUAUCCUAUACUCAAGGAGUAUAUCUAUAUACUCAAGGAGUAAUUUAGUGUUUAUUAUAUCCGUAUACUUAUACUUGGGAGUAUGUCCAUAUACUCAGAGAUUAUUUUAGUGUUUAUUGUGAGUAUGGAUACAUACGUGUGGGUAGAGAACCAACAUGACAACCCUGUUUAUGGGCAUGGGUGUGUAUGAGUACAUACAUGUUAAGACUGAUAUGAGUACAUACUUGAUGUGAUAACCUGUUCAUGUGGCGUAUGUGUUUAUUAGGAGUAUGAGGAGUAUGAAUAUAUACAUAUCAUAUUGUGAGUACAUACAUGUUAAGCAAGAGUAUGCAUACAUACUUGUAAAUUUGAAAAGUGCAUCCAACAUUCGAUCAAAGUUUAUAUUUUUUCCAAACGGAAAUAAGAAACUAUAUAUUUUUUUGUAAUCAUAUAUAGUUUCUCUUCUAAAUCACGUAUAAACGAGUGAGUUUCAUUUAUAAGAAACUACGUUCCAAAAUGAUCCGGUAUAUUGUUCUGAUAAAUGAAGAGGUAUGGUAUAUUCUUCUGGUAACUUGCCUUCGGGAAACGCUUUGUCGUGACAGCUCUACACGCCAUGACAUUGGUGAGAACGCUAGAAGAUGAACUCACGUACCAGCAGCAUGCAAGGUCAAAAACGAAAUCUGCAUCUAUCACCUCGCGAGUCUGUCUGAUCUGCAAUCUGCAAAGAUAUUAAAUUGAAAUUAACAAAUCGACAACAAGAAGAAGGAUUAGUGGAUGGAGAUCAGGUUUGUACUUAUAUUUUGUUGGUCGGGAGGACCGCCGGCCAACGCCCGGCGGGCAGCACGACGACGUGAGCGCUUUUGGAUAGACAACAUGCGUGUGCAGAUCUGCAUGGUAGGAGGCGGCCGGCCAUGGUCACCAGGCACAAGGAGAUCGAGAAACGUAUCAAGAUAAGAGGAUCUAGCAACAAGAUCAAUGGAAUCAAUAGUAUCUAGAUCGAUCUACUAUAUACGAGAAGAUUAGAUUUUAGGAUAAACAUAUUGAUCACGAACAGGAAAGAUUGGGACGGUCUCAACAAACCAGAUGAAUCAAAAUAUCGUGCCGCCGCCACCGUCGCCGAAUAUCCUAUUGCCUCUAGACGCCAUAAAUGACGGUAAAAUCUCUUAUAUAGGAUGGAUAUUAACGGGUUAGUUUGUUUUGACCCGCUUCCGAGAUGAGGACUGACUUCACAACUCCGUCAUCGGCCCGUUACAUACGACGACGCGCAUGGGACUGGCUGAACUUCGCGUGCGUGUACUAACCAUCGGAGUAGCUACACGUCGAUGUAAAAAGGAAUUACCCCCUCUCUCUCUCUCUAUAUAUAUAUAUAUAUCCUACUACUAAAAAGCCUCAAAAUAAAUCGUCGACCCGGUCAAUUCGCUCGCCUGCACCAUGCGCUGCGCUGCACCAUGCGUCGCUUAAACUCUUGGGCCGUAUUUCCCAUAGGCUCUCACUCCAAGGCUGCCAGGCUCCUUGCGACCACUAGAAUAGGGAGAGAGAUGGAGAGCAGUCAAACAUGCCCACGCCUGCAAUACUUUGAAAGAGCAGCCUAAGCACCGAGAAAUGUAUUUAAAAAAUAUUGUUCAAACAUGAACUAAGUAAAUUUAAAAAUUUUGUCUCAUAAAUUACAAGUACAUUGUGUAAUUAGUUAUUUCUUUCAUUUCACAAAUUACAGAUUAACUGUACAAUUAGUUUUUAUUUUCUUCUAUAUUUAAAUACUCCAUGUAUGGGACCAAAAAUUCGAUGCGACAAAAAAUCUUAAAAAUUAUUACGAAGUAAACAAGGCAGGUCUGCGCAUGCCAGCCAUGGACAGCGGCAAGUCAUGCAGGCUAUGCAUGCCGGUCAGCAUGUGCCUAGGCUAGGCCUAGGGACUAGGUAGUGGAGUGGAUACUGUAUAUAGGGAGUGCAAUAAAAAUAUGAUUAGAAUACAAAAGCGUGCAAGGCCUUGUUAAGUUCUGAUUUUUUUUAUUUCGUUACUUUAAUAUUUUCAUUUUUAUUUGAAAAUAUUAUCUAAUCAUGGACUAACUGCGCUCAAAAGAUUCAUCUCGUGAUUUACACGUAAACUGUGCAAUUAGUUUUUGCUUUUAUCUAUAUUUAAUGCUAGAUGUAUGUGGCGUUAGAUUUGAUGUGACGGAUAAUUUUGAAAAGUUUUUGGUUUUCAGGGUGAACUAACUUGUUUAGAUCCAAAAAGUUUUUGGAUUUCGAUACUGUAACACGUUUACCUGAAAACCAAAAUACCACGUUAACAUAUGUAGCAUUUCUGAAAAGUUUUUGGUUUUCAGGGUAAAUAUUGUCCAAUCAUGAAAUAAUAAGGUUUAAAAGAUUCGACUCACGAUUUACAGAUAAACAUACAAUUAGUUUUUAUUUUUAUCUAUAUUUAGUGCUCCAUAUAUGUGCCGUAGAUUCAAUGUGAUAGGAAAUCUUGAAAAAAAUUUAGUUUUUGGGUGAACUAAAUAAGACCUAAACAAGGCCUAGGCCUUGUCUCUCAUGGAUGGCAUUGCUGGAAGAGGACGAGGAGCACAACACGGAGCAGGGAGGGAAGCAUAGCAGUGUCACUGGGGAAGUGACGGGGGCGGCAAGCCCAACGCGGCAACGCCUAGAGAGCAUAGCAGGGAGAGCACUCGAGUAGAUGGGAGAUUUUGAUGAGAUUUGUAGAGAGGCAGGAUUGGUGGAAUUUUUUAGGCCCUGUUUAGAUUGGACAUAAAAUUUUUUUGAUGUCACAUGAUUGUGUUGGAAGAAUGUCGGAAGGAGUUUUUAUAAACUAAUAAAAAAACAAAUUACAUAGCUCGUUAGGAAACUGCAAGACAAAUCUAUUAAGCAUAAUUAAUCUGUCAUUAGCACAUGUGGGUUACUGUAGCACUUAAGGCUAAUCAUGAAGUAAUUAGGCUUAAAAGAUUCGUCUCGCGAUUUUCAACCAAAAUGUGUAAUUAGUUUAUUUUUUUAUGUAUAUUUAAUGUUCCAUGCAUGUGUCCAAAGAUUCGAUGGGAUGUGUGGAAUUUUGGGUGGGAAACUAAACAUGGCCUUACUUCGACCAUGGCCGUCUUAUCUCACCUCAGAAUUAAUGCGGUUCUAAUUCUUUUUAUUAUCUCUUUCUGUUAGGCCAAAUAAACUCACCUCCAUUAUAAAAAAAUAAUAUACAAUAAUAAUCAAAGCGAAAAUUCCUACAAGUUUAAGAGGAAGCAGUUUUCUAUUAGACUCACCUUUGCCAUGACAAUUAACAAGGCGCAAGGGCAAACUAUCCCUAAUGCUGGUGUGUAUUUGCCUGAACCAGUAUUCUCACAUGAUCAGUUGUAUGUUGCGCUAUUUAGAGCCACUGCUAGAUCGAACAUUAAGAUCCUUGCCAUCCCACCCAUUGAUAAGAAGAAUACGAAAAGGAAGACAAAAAUAAAUGAUAAAUACACGAAAAAUAUUUUCUACAAAGAGGUUCUCACUUCAUGAUAAUGUAUUUGUCUUCUGUUUUGCAGAGCUGUUAUAUUCUUAUAUUUAUGUCCUUAGAUAUUGACGUAUUGUAUACAUCUGAAUUUUAGAUAAUAAUAGAGGAAGUCAGAAAGAAAUUAGAGACAAGUAGCUAUGACUUACUCACGUGUUAUUGAUGUUUUAGUUUCGCAAUCAAAUUUAGAGUUAUAUUUUAGUUAUCUAUCUUUCUUAAAGAUUUAUGUAAUAUGGUUGGUAUCAACAUUAUAAAACACUCUCAUAUAUAUGUUAUUGUGGUAUUUAGUAUUCCCGUUGCAACUCACGGGCACUUAACUAGUAUAUAUAUAUAUAUAUAUAUAUAUAUAUAUAUAUAUAUAUAUAUAUAUAUAUAUAUAUAUAUAUAUAUAUAUAUAUAUAUAUGAAAAUUCCUUUCUACACGCACGAGUAUCUACUCCGACGUAGCUACACGCGUGAAUUCUUCCCUCUCGUGUAUAUCCCGCAGCACAUAGCUAACGGGUGGCGUCGGGGCGUGCGGCCCAUUUCCGAGCUAACGGGUUUGAAGCACGAGUAUGCGGAUCGCUCGCAUGUAUCCAAGAUCUACGCGAACUAGCCGGCACAUGCAUGUGUACAGGAUGUACACGAAUAUUAUUAUUAUUUAAUAAAUGAUUAGGGGAGCGCCUCUAUAGGAAAAUUCCUUUCUACACGCACGAGUAUCUUCUCCGACGUAGCUACACGCGUGAAUUCUUCCCUCUCGUAUAUCCCGCAGCACAUAGCUAACGGGUGGCGUCGGGGCGUGCGGCCCAUUUCCGAGCUAACGGGUUUGAAGCACGAGUAUGCGGAUCGCUCGCAUGUAUCCAAGAUCUACGCGAACUAGCCGGCACAUGCAUGUGUACAGGAUGUACACGAAUAUUAUUAUUAUUUAAUAAAUGAUUAGGGGAGCGCCUAGCCAGAUAAGUAUUAAAAAAAACGUUCAAUUGUUCACAGACGUUCUUUUCUGCAAGUAAAGUAUGAACGCAUACUUUAAUAAAAAAAAUUGAGUAUACUCGAGUAUGAACGCAUACUAUUUAAUAAGAAAAAUUGAGUAUACUUUAAUAGAGUAUGGACGCAUACUUGUAGAGUAUGUCUAUAUACUCAGAGAAUUACUUUAGUAUUUAUCUUAUAGAGUAUGUAUUUUUAUUGAUAUUUUUUUCGAGACAAAAAUUGGUACGUUUAUGGGGAACUUUUUUUACUCUGCUAAAAAAAGUUUCCUACAAAUGUACCAAUGUUUGUCCUCGAAAAAAAAUCGGUGAAAAUACAUACUCUAUAAGAUAAACACUAAAGUAAUCCUCUGAGUAUAUGGACAUACUCGAAAUACAAGUAUGCGUCCAUACUCUAUUAAAGUAUACUCAAUUUUUCUUAUUAAAGUAUAUGUUCAUACUCGAGUAUAGUCAAUUUUCUUAUUAAAGUAUGCGUUCAUACUUUGCAGAAAAGAACGUUUGUGAACAAUUGAACUUUUUUUUCGUAAUACUUAUCCGGCUAGGAGCUCCCCUAAUCAUUUAUUAAAUAAUAAUAAUAUUCGCGUACAUCCUGUAUACAUCGCGUAGAUCUUGUUGGAUACAUGCCAGCGAUCCUCAUACUCGUGCUUCGAACCCGUUAGUUCGGUAAUGGGCCGCACCCCCGACGCCACCCGUUAGCUACGUCUGCGGGAUGGCUCGAGCCCUCGGAUGCGUAUAAUAAAGACUCGGAGUAGUUACUCGUACGUGUAAAUAAAACGUGUCAUAUAUAUAUAUAUAUAUAUAUAUAUAUAUAUAUAUAUAUAUAUAUAUAUAUAUAUAUACACACACACCGUAUAUAGAUAUAGAUACCCGGCUGCUUCAACGUACAUAAUUAAGUGUACAUUAUCGAACCGGACAACCGGCUGCCAACAACGUUCACGUCUGAUUGCAAUUGCAAUGUUGUUGCUUUGUGGUCGUUGUCACUUGGCUCGUCCCCAUCAACUUCCAAGUGUGCCAUAUCAUGCGCUAGCUGAUGCGUAAUAUAGUCCAUAUGCAUUAUAUAUUUAUAUUGAUCGGUCGACCGUACUCUUUUUUUUUUUAGUUUUAUUUGCGAAACAAUCGAUCGGCCGCCGAUGCAUGAUUUCUAUCUAGUAUAAGUCAAGAACACUGGCGUUUAGGUAAACUUGAAAGUAACACUAACUAUUACUUAGUGAAUGUCAAUAUCAUUGUUUUGGCAGAGCGAAUGAUAUGAUGCCUCGUAAUAUGCAUUGUUAAUUCAUGAUAUGAUAUGAUAUGAUAUGAUAUGAUAUGAUAUGAUAUAUAUAUAUAUAUAUAUAUAUAUAUAUAUAUAUGCUCCGCCUCUAGAUAGACACACGGCAGCAAUAUGAUUCGACUGAGAUGGUAUCUUUCGAUUUUGAAUUCAGGAUCUUCUUCAGGGGCCUCACUCUGUUUCUUUGCUACCUACCACUGCGUGCUUGUCUAAUUUUUAGUUGAUGUCGUUUUAAACUAGUAGCAAGAAGAAGUUAUCCUAGCUCCCAGAUUAUAUGGGGAUCUAAUCUACCUCGGAUUUCGUCGCUAGCUAGCUCUUGUUUUUUUUUUCUUAGGUAUCCUGCCCUUUUUCAUAUGUAUCGUAUCGUCUUGCCUGCUUAUUAAUCGAUUAUAUUAUCUUAUUACUAUAAGGUAGUAUUAGGACAUGCUAAACAGUGUGAGAUAGUUACCGGAAUAAUAUUAACUUUUAGCACAUAAUUCAUAAUUAAUAUAAAUAGCUCCACAUGACAACUUCACGUGAUUUUGGAGAGUGUGAGAAUGAGAUUAUAGUUCUUGGCCAAGAGAUAGCUUUUUUACUCUCUUUUAUUAAAAUAUACUAUUAAUGCUAGCUCAAAAGUCACUAUGAAAGAAGCCACAAGAGUCCCUAGAUAUUAUAUCAUAUUUAUAUCUGAUCUCUAAUACAAAGAGCAAAAAUUUUCUUUUUCAAAAUUUCCGGCAUUCACUCUCUUCCGAGUUUGUCAUCCCCUCCACUCACUCAAGCAUAAGAGUCAUGUCCAGUUUUAUUAAAAAUAGUAAUACAUGACAAAUUAGAGAUAAGAAUCCUAAUGUAAUUAGUUUGUUGUCUAGUUCAUGACCUAAACCCGUUGCCACCGCACGUCACUCUCUCCCAUCCUCAUCUCACUUUUGCUAUCCCCACACGCCUCCAAUCGAAAGGCAUCACGAUCCAAUUCCAUCACGAGAGUACAAGAACAUGGUUUAAACAAUGUAUAUAUUUCUAGCCACGGUACGAAGUUCAAUUCCAAGAUGUAUUAUAUUAGAUGAAUAAUCGUCGCAUAAACCUCUAAGCCGUAAGUCGUCUAGGUGAACAUAUAAUAAGUUGUAUGCUCUGUGGCAACAUGAGCAUAUUUACUAGUAAUAACAAGUUAACCAUGAUAUAUGCAGAGGAGGCCACGUCAUGCUGUUUAUAUUUGUAACAUAGCAUUUCUCCUUGUUUAGUAGGGUUUUGUUGCGAACUACUUCACCCAAUAAGCCAGAGAAACAAGAGAAAGCCAUGUUGGUGUGCUCGCGCCCUUCUAGUACCACUACCAGAAAAAAGUUUCUCUUUGUCAGCGAGAUCACAAUCACCCCCCGUCAGCGCCAAGGAAUGAAGCUCGAGAGGCAUGCGCAACAUGUGCCAAAAGCUUCCUAGCGAGCACACAUGUGACCGCAAGUCUGGCCUGAGCACAAAGGUUGCACUCAUCGGACUCAUGUAGUCCAUGGCACCGCCUCCGGUUAGCCAUCCGCAGAUGGCAAUGCAAUGCCAACCAGAAGAAUAGCUUGACUUUGGGAGGGUGCCUGAGCACAAAGGUUGCACUCAUCGCGCCAAGAAGAUGAUGAUCCAAUGAAGAAAGCCGUGCAUGUAUGCUGAUGAAGCAGCGUAUUUGCUGUUUGGUGACCAUUUACACACAAAUCGGUCGAAUUGAGGUGUGGUCACAGCUAAAACGGAUCAAAUACUGACGGAUAUCAUUAAUAUUAUAUUUGUUUUCGUAUUUUUUUGUCGGAUUCAGAUUCGAAUACAGGUAUUGUCAGCCGUGCCAAAAAAGAUACGAUUGGAUGUCAAUAUCAUAAAUAUGUAAUUUCAGUAUUCGGAUAUAGAUACAGUAUAGGAUUUGAAUAUCUAAACUCAUAUAUAUAUAUAUAUAUAUAUAACGUGUACAAAUUGUCUCAUAUAUAAUUGGACCGGAUAUAUAGCUAAUUAAGGUUGCGGUGAUAUGAUGUUGCGCGCGUAUGGGUAGCUGCUAGUAGCUAGUAUCAUCGAUCUUUUGUCACUUUCCAAAGAAACAAAGGUCUCACUUGCCAUAUCCAGGCCGGGUCGCUCCUCCCUUGCCACGCUGUUCUUCCGAUCCCUUGCCUUGCCACGCGCUGCUCUUCCUUUCCCGCAAGUCCUAUCUCUGAUGCCGCCUUUGUUCCUCGAUCCACCGCCUAUCGCACGUACCAGCAGGCCAAACCGAGCCCUCAAUCUCUGACCGGCUGCCGGCCAUGCAUCCCUGGCAGCCUGACAAAUGAUGGCCGACGAGAGAUGCAAAGGAAAAAAGAAAAUCUAUGUCCAUUAUUCAGACACGGAGAUAUGCAUCCAAAUAUGCUGUGCUGUGGUACGGUGCACUAGUUUUUUAGAGAGAAUUAUUGUUUAGAGGCCUCUAAAUAAAACCUGGUGUUUGGAGUUUUUUUUACAGUCUCUUGGAGAUGCUCUAAGGGACAUAUUUUUGUGAGGCAGCACGAACUUGUCCAUAAAUCAUUCAAGGUUGAAAACAGGCGAUGCAUGCACGAGCACACUUCUAUAUAAAAGUGGUUCCAUUCAUUGUAUCAUGUGUUCCUGAUAAUUUUAAGACCGCGCUAAGUCUGUCUAGAGACGGAGAGGAGUAGCAUUUCAUGGUCGUGGUCCUCUAUGUCUAUCUGCAACCUUUUCUGAAUAAACUACAGUCCAAAAAGAUGCCUUAUUCUUGGUGCAAUCACCACCAGGUUUUCUGGCUAUAUAAAAGGCCACCACCGGGGCAAAGAAACCCAGCUACGACAUCGUUCAAUUCAGUAGCAAGGUAGCUAGCUAGCCAGCCAGGGGAAGCGUAUUGUGAUAUGGCUGACGCUCAAGGCCACUACGAUCAGAUUGAGGAGCUGGUGCCGGCGAAUUCCAAGUCUCCUCCACAGGUGGCCCUAGUGGUCUCUAUCCUGCUCGUCUGUCCUCUGCUCGUCCUCCUCCUGCGCCGCCUCUUUGGAACGACGACGACGACGCCAUCGACGGCCAGAGAACAGCUGCUGAGCAAGCUGCCUUCGCCUCCAAGCAGGCUCCCCAUCGUCGGCCACCUGCACCUCGUCGGCCCCCUACCGCACAUCUCUCUCCGCGACCUCUCUACCAAGCAUGGCCGUGAUGGCCUCAUGCUCCUCCACCUCGGCGCCGUCCCUAC